CGUCGGUCAGGAGCCGGGCGACGGUCUCCCGGUCGCUGUCGGCGGCCGGGUCGAGGACGACCCGUUCGACGCGGGCGCCGCGGGC
Molecule: transfer RNA, 85 nt
Filed under: Streptomyces lavendulae subsp. lavendulae
Lineage: Bacteria; Bacillati; Actinomycetota; Actinomycetes; Kitasatosporales; Streptomycetaceae
Description: tRNA-Asp(gtc)
Source: RNAcentral